This 496-nucleotide ribosomal RNA is filed under the name uncultured bacterium. RNAcentral's name for it is "partial 16S ribosomal RNA". It matches the Rfam family "Bacterial small subunit ribosomal RNA", at positions 28 to 507 of the family's 1533-position model. The record is from RNAcentral.
GAUGAACGCUGGCGGCGUGCCUAAUACAUGCAAGUAGAACGCUGAAGGAGGAGCUUGCUCUUUCCGGAUGAGUUGCGAACGGGUGAGUAACGCGUAGGUAACCUGCCUGGUAGCGGGGGAUAACUAUUGGAAACGAUAGCUAAUACCGCAUAACAGUAGAUAUUGCAUGAUAUUUGCUUGAAAGGGGCAAUUGCUCCACUACCAGAUGGACCUGCGUUGUAUUAGCUAGUUGGUGAGGUAACGGCUCACCAAGGCGACGAUACAUAGCCGACCUGAGAGGGUGAUCGGCCACACUGGGACUGAGACACGGCCCAGACUCCUACGGGAGGCAGCAGUAGGGAAUCUUCGGCAAUGGACGGAAGUCUGACCGAGCAACGCCGCGUGAGUGAAGAAGGUUUUCGGAUCGUAAAGCUCUGUUGUAAGAGAAGAACGAGUGUGAGAGUGGAAAGUUCACACUGUGACGGUAUCUUACCAGAAAGGGACGACUAACUACGUG